CCCGACCUUGAGAGCAUGAAUGGCUCUCCUUUGAUCUUCUCUUCCAAUACUCCAUGCGUACGCCCACCACGAAGCAGGAAUCCUGCUGAUCUUCUUCACUCUCUCAGGAAGCAUCAGCAAGCUGUUCUUGUUGUUGCUGCUGGGAUCUACAGCACAAGCCAUUCUUGCAGCCUGGGGCUGAAGAUGAAUGCUCAGGUUCCUUGAAAGAUGGCAAUGCUACCAACCAUAAGUGUAGGUGUCCCAAAUAUCAGGAAGGGAGAGGACGCCACCUUCCUCCCGUUUGUUGAGCAACUCGCCGAAUCACAGGACGAUACGCACUUCUCCUUUUCCUGACGCUGAUACGUGGUGAUGGCGGCCUUGACUUUGCACUGGACCAUCGGCUGAAUGAGUUCACGUGAAGAGGAAGUUGGGAAAGGCCCCGGCCUCGGCAAGCUGCUCGUGUGCGCGCCUUGAUUGGACGACAAUGGCCGGCUCGUCCGGUCCCGGUCCGGCGGUGGUGGAGAGCGACAUGUGCGGAUGGCCGCUUGAGGUUGUAGUGUAGGGCGAAGGUCACGGUUGUCGCCGGGUUCAGAUUGGUCGUGCGGCCGCGUUGCCAGCUGCGGUGAUGCUCUGCCGUCCGGUGGUCGACACCUUGCCAGGCGAGGGCACACCUGUGAACUGGUUGGUGGCCUUGUGUCAAACCCGCACUUGAAAUGCACGGCUGGUGCUGGACUUUGGGUUCGUUCGCAUUGAUCACAACUAAUUUCGGGAUAAUUUUGUUUUUUUGUCGCUAAGCCUUUGUAUCAUUGCGUGAUUUCUAAAACAAAACUUCUGUUUUUUUACUAGUGAUAGCAACAACUA
Molecule: long non-coding RNA, 840 nt
Organism: Triticum aestivum (bread wheat)
Lineage: Eukaryota; Viridiplantae; Streptophyta; Magnoliopsida; Poales; Poaceae
Exons: 2
Source: RefSeq, a predicted model, not a curated record